Arachis stenosperma is the source of this 1289-nucleotide long non-coding RNA. RefSeq lists it as uncharacterized. The transcript has 3 exons. Lineage: Eukaryota; Viridiplantae; Streptophyta; Magnoliopsida; Fabales; Fabaceae. The record is from RefSeq and is a predicted model, not a curated record.
UUUUCAAAUUGAAUCAGAAAUCUAAUUCCCAAAUUGAGGAACCUAACCCUAAUCCCUCCUCACCACACUCAGCCGCAUCCUCUUUCCCUUUAAUCCCUUUCAAACCUAACACAGUAGCAGAGAAGGAGAGCUGUGAUCGAAAGAGAGGAAGAGCCACGCUGCCGCCGCUCUCCAGCCACCUCGCCACCACCGUCGCGCCGCCACCGUGCCAUCGUUGCUCCCAGCUCGCCGACAUCCUCCAUGUCGUUGCGCCACUGUUCGCAAAGAGGAGAGAGAGAGACGUUGAGACAGAGCAGCGCCGAGAGGGAGAGGAGCCUCCAUCAUCGUCGAUUCGUGCUCGCCAGAGGAAGCCGCUGCCGCCGAUGAGUUGUCGCCGCUGUGACGCGUCUGAGAGGAGAGAAGUCAUGCGUUGAAAGCCAUCGCGUCUUGUCGCCAAGGGUUCCAUCACAGCCAACCCGUCGCAGUUGGUGUCGCCGCCGUCCCUGUUGGAUUCCACCGUGGAGAAGAGAACGACACGAGGGAGAGAGGGAGACAGAGCCGUGCGAGCUAGAAGAGGCACUGUCCUUGAUGUUGCUGCCACGGUCGCUGGUGAGUCGUGCACCGCCAUCAGAGUCAGAAGACAGCAUCAGCCUUCUUGUUUUGGUUCCGAUUCCUCCAUUUCUAAAACUUUCUGUCACUUUGCUUCAAAAUUGCUGUUGUAACUCGUAUUGGUUUUGGGACUGUUAUGGCUGCUGCUGGUUUUGUUCAAGGCUACUGCUGCUGUGAGAAAGGAAAAAGAAAUUUGUCGCGAUUAAGGAAUUCUUCGAGUUCCGGUUAUUUGAGCUUGCUACUUUGAACUUUAUUGCAUGUGCAACUACUGAUGUAUUUUCCAUGACAAACUCUGGUACCAACUCUUAGCAAUGGUGUCUGGAUUCAGAAGCUACUAUGGUGGGGAUCAUGCUCCCACUUUGAGGCCUAAUUAACAAGAAGAGGUUGGCAGCAAUCUUGUGGCAUAAUGGUACUAUAGGAUGGAACAGUUUUGAAGAAAGAGUAAAGAAGAUGAUCCACGAAGGUCAGAAAGUUACAAUGAGGAAGUUUGGUAAAAGCAUUUACAGACAAUCAAGGUCUCCCACGUGCAUGUGUAGACAACCUUAACACCAUCAAUCAACACACUCACGCACCCAUUGUAUAAUAUUAGACUAAGACUAGCCCAAUGCACAUGGAGCUGAAUUACUUAUACUAUAUAGUAGUAUAGAUCUAAAAAUGUUAUUACUUAUAACUUAAUUUAUGUAUAAUUUUAUUGAUUUUAU